Molecule: non-coding RNA, 148 nt
Filed under: Homo sapiens (human)
Lineage: Eukaryota; Metazoa; Chordata; Mammalia; Primates; Hominidae
Source: Rfam by way of RNAcentral
GCUGGGUGUGGUGGCGUGUGCCUGUAGUCCCAGCUACUGAGGAGGCUGAGUUGGGAGGAUCGCUUGAACCCAGGAGGUUGAGGCUGCAGUGAGGUGUGAUUGCACCACUGCACUUCAGCCUGGGCAACAGAGUGAGAUCCUGUCUCAA